AUUGAACGCUGGCGGCAUGCUUUACACAUGCAAGUCGAACGGCAGCAUGGGUGCUUGCACCUGAUGGCGAGUGGCGAACGGGUGAGUAAUAUAUCGGAACGUACCCGGAAAUGGGGGAUAACGUAGCGAAAGUUACGCUAAUACCGCAUAUGCCCUGAGGGGGAAAGUGGGGGAUCCGCAAGGACCUCACGUUUUCGGAGCGGCCGAUAUCAGAUUAGCUAGUUGGUGAGGUAAAGGCUCACCAAGGCGACGAUCUGUAGCUGGUCUGAGAGGAAGACCAGCCACACUGGGACUGAGAAACGGCCCAGACUCCUACGGGAGGCAGCAGUGGGGAAUUUUGGACAAUGGGGGCAACCCUGAUCCAGCCAAGCCGCGUGAGUGAAGAAGGCCUUCGGGUUGUAAAGCUCUUUCGGACAGAAAGAAAUCGCACAGGAUAAUACCUUGUGUGGAUGACGGUACUGUAAGAAGAAGCACCGGCUAACUACGUGCCAGCCGCCGCAGUAA
Molecule: ribosomal RNA, 504 nt
Filed under: uncultured bacterium
Lineage: Bacteria
Description: partial 16S ribosomal RNA
Rfam family: Bacterial small subunit ribosomal RNA
Source: RNAcentral